GGUCUGAGAGGAUGAUCCGCCACACUGGGACUGAGACACGGCCCAGACUCCUACGGGAGGCAGCAGUGGGGAAUUUUGGACAAUGGGCGCAAGCCUGAUCCAGCCAUGCCGCGUGUCUGAAGAAGGCCUUCGGGUUGUAAAGGACUUUUGUCAGGGAGGAAAUCCCUAGCGCUAAUAUCGCUGGGGGAUGACAGUACCUGAAGAAUAAGCACCGGCUAACUACGUGCCAGCAGCCGCGGUAAUACGUAGGGUGCAAGCGUUAAUCGGAAUUACUGGGCGUAAAGCGUGCGCAGGCGGUUGUGUAAGUCUGAUGUGAAAGCCCCGGGCUCAACCUGGGAACGGCAUUGGAGACUG
Molecule: ribosomal RNA, 354 nt
Filed under: bacterium LimB-1-A-259
Lineage: Bacteria
Description: bacterial SSU rRNA
Rfam family: Bacterial small subunit ribosomal RNA
Source: RNAcentral